UACAGGGGGGGCAAGCGUUGUUCGGAAUUACUGGGCGUAAAGGGCUCGUAGGCGGCCAACUAAGUUCCGACGUGAAAUCCCCAGGCUUAACCUGGGAACUGCGUCGGAUACUGGAUGGCUUGAAUUCGGGAGAAGGGAUGCAGAAUUCCAGGGUGUAGCGGGUGAAAUGCGUAGAUAUCUGGAGGAAUACCGGUGGCGAAGGCGGCAUCCUGGACCGACAUUGACGCUGAUGAGCGAAAGCUAGGGGAGCAAACGGGAUUAAGAU
Molecule: ribosomal RNA, 265 nt
Filed under: uncultured bacterium
Lineage: Bacteria
Description: partial 16S ribosomal RNA
Rfam family: Bacterial small subunit ribosomal RNA
Source: RNAcentral